This 505-nucleotide ribosomal RNA is filed under the name uncultured bacterium. RNAcentral's name for it is "partial 16S ribosomal RNA". It matches the Rfam family "Bacterial small subunit ribosomal RNA", at positions 28 to 507 of the family's 1533-position model. The record is from RNAcentral.
GACGAACGCUGGCGGCGUGCCUAAUACAUGCAAGUAGAACGCACAGUUUAUACCGUAGCUUGCUACACCAUAGACUGUGAGUUGCGAACGGGUGAGUAACGCGUAGGUAACCUGCCUGGUAGCGGGGGAUAACUAUUGGAAACGAUAGCUAAUACCGCAUAAUAUUAAUUAUUGCAUGAUAAUUAAUUGAAAGGUGCAAUUGCACCACUACCAGAUGGACCUGCGUUGUAUUAGCUAGUAGGUGAGGUAACGGCUCACCUAGGCGACGAUACAUAGCCGACCUGAGAGGGUGAUCGGCCACACUGGGACUGAGACACGGCCCAGACUCCUACGAGAGGCAGCAGUAGGGAAUCUUCGGCAAUGGACGAAAGUCUGACCGAGCAACGCCGCGUGAGUGAAGAAGGUUUUCGGAUCGUAAAGCUCUGUUGUAAGAGAAGAACGGGUGUGAGAGUGGAAAGUUCACACUGUGACGGUAUCUGACCAGAAAGGGACGGCUAACUACGUG